Long non-coding RNA from Papaver somniferum (opium poppy), 657 nucleotides. RefSeq lists it as uncharacterized. The transcript is spliced from 3 exons. The record is from RefSeq and is a predicted model, not a curated record. NCBI's taxonomy places the organism in Eukaryota, Viridiplantae, Streptophyta, Magnoliopsida, Ranunculales, Papaveraceae.
AACUUAUUUUUCUUCCUUCUGUUCCAUUAAAACUUUGUUCUUCCCUAAACUUUUCUGUGCUGUUUUCUGCUCAAAGAGUCUCAAACAAAAGAAGAAACUGUAGCUUUAAAAUCUGAAAUUCAAGUUCAACCUAUCAAUUGUUUCCAGGCGAAUUUUGUAUUCUGCAAAGCAUAGUAGGAAGCUAGAUGACUCUACUAUAGGACCAUCAGGCCUUAAUUGGCACCCCAUAUACGGAUGGCAACCCGGAAGACCGUAUGUUUGAUAACGGUGGCUGGUAUCGGACUACCUUGACGACGGCGUGCGCCAAAGGAAUAGUAGAGUGACUUACGUCAAUAUUUCGUACAGAAGAGUACGAGCGGAGCUUGCAGCAGUAAGCCGGGCAGAGCUUACAGCAGGCUUUAACGUCUCGAAAGUUAGUAUUUUGUUGUCUAUAAUAUGUGUAUCACGGGGUUGCUGGGUAGUUUAGAAAUGUAAAACAUCCAUGCCUAUUUUCCUGUCGUUCUUUUGUGGAUACCGCCAUAUUUUUGAUGUGUAUAAUGGCUUUUUAUUUUGCAACAAAAUGAUAGGCUUGGAUUAAGUUUGUAAAGUUUUAAGGUCUGUUUAGAUUCGGCGUACGCAGAACCUCUUAUAGAACUUAUUACAUUUCUUGGAACAUUA